UAAUGAAUGUAGCAUGGUACUGUACACGGAAACUGAACUUAGGAUCGACAUGUCUGCCAUCUCUGAGUUCUUUCUUUGAUGAGACGGCCUGGUUUAGAUCCACAUUC
This is a non-coding RNA of Arabis alpina (gray rockcress), 107 nucleotides long. Lineage: Eukaryota; Viridiplantae; Streptophyta; Magnoliopsida; Brassicales; Brassicaceae. The record is from Rfam.